Molecule: ribosomal RNA, 235 nt
Filed under: uncultured Lactobacillus sp.
Lineage: Bacteria; Bacillati; Bacillota; Bacilli; Lactobacillales; Lactobacillaceae
Description: partial 16S ribosomal RNA
Rfam family: Bacterial small subunit ribosomal RNA
Source: RNAcentral
GCCCAAGAGAUCGGGAUAACACCUGGAAACAGAUGCUAAUACCGGAUAACAACAGAUGAUGCCUAUCAACUGUUUAAAAGAUGGUUCUGCUAUCACUCUUGGAUGGACCUGCGGUGCAUUAGCUAGUUGGUAGGGUAACGGCCUACCAAGGCGAUGAUGCAUAGCCGAGUUGAGAGACUGAUCGGCCACAUUGGGACUGAGACNACGGCCCAAACUCCUACGGGAGGCAGCAGCC